UACGAAGGGGGGCUAGCGUUGCUCGGAAUCACUGGGCGUAAAGGGUGCGUAGGCGGGUCUUUAAGUCAGGGGUGAAAUCCUGGAGCUCAACUCCAGAACUGCCUUUGAUACUGAGGAUCUUGAGUUCGAGAGAGGUGAGUGGAACUGCGAGUGUAGAGGUGAAAUUCGUAGAUAUUCGCAAGAACACCAGUGGCGAAGGCGGCUCACUGGCCCGAUACUGACGCUGAGGCACGAAAGCGUGGGGAGCAAACAGG
This 254-nucleotide ribosomal RNA is filed under the name uncultured bacterium. RNAcentral describes it as "partial 16S ribosomal RNA". It matches the Rfam family "Bacterial small subunit ribosomal RNA", at positions 524 to 776 of the family's 1533-position model. The record is from RNAcentral.